Molecule: ribosomal RNA, 460 nt
Filed under: uncultured bacterium
Lineage: Bacteria
Description: partial 16S ribosomal RNA
Rfam family: Bacterial small subunit ribosomal RNA
Source: RNAcentral
CCUACGGGAGGCAGCAGUGAGGAAUAUUGGUCAAUGGACGAGAGUCUGAACCAGCCAAGUAGCGUGAAGGAUGACUGCCCUAUGGGUUGUAAACUUCUUUUAUAUGGGAAUAAAAUGUUCCACGUGUGGGAUUUUGUAUGUACCAUAUGAAUAAGGAUCGGCUAACUCCGUGCCAGCAGCCGCGGUAAUACGGAGGAUCCGAGCGUUAUCCGGAUUUAUUGGGUUUAAAGGGAGCGUAGGUGGAUUGUUAAGUCAGUUGUGAAAGUUUGCGGCUCAACCGUAAAAUUGCAGUUGAAACUGGCAGUCGUGAGUACAGUAGAGGUGGGCGGAAUUCGUGGUGUAGCGGUGAAAUGCUUAGAUAUUACGAAGAACUCUGAUUGCGAAGGCAGCUCACUGGACUGCAACUGACACUGAGGCUCGAAAGUGUGGGUAUCAAACAGGAUUAGAUACCCCUGUAGUC